Molecule: long non-coding RNA, 300 nt
Organism: Vicia villosa (hairy vetch)
Lineage: Eukaryota; Viridiplantae; Streptophyta; Magnoliopsida; Fabales; Fabaceae
Exons: 3
Source: RefSeq, a predicted model, not a curated record
CAUUCAUUUACCCUAACUCAAAUCAAAAACAAGCAAAGGCGAAAAUUUGUGCAAACACACUUCCAAGGCUGCAUCAAGGCUCCAAUCACAUUGCUAUACAACAUUCAAAAGCCCACAAAUCACUCAAUUUGAACAUGUCAGGCAACCAACCAGCACGCAUCAGACAGGGUAGGGAGACCCAGACUGCGUCAGCUACACAGGGAAUGGGUGGCGCUAAGGGAAAAAAGGAGGUGAAGGAGAAGAAGAAGGUUUCGACCGGCUCUACUUCGUGCUCUCGCGGAGUGAAGGAGGUGAAGGAGA